GACGAACGCUGGCGGCGUGCUUAACACAUGCAAGUCGAACGGAAAGGCCCUGCUUUUGUGGGGUGCUCGAGUGGCGAACGGGUGAGUAACACGUGAGUAACCUGCCCUUGACUUUGGGAUAACUUCAGGAAACUGGGGCUAAUACCGGAUAGGAGCUCCUGCUGCAUGGUGGGGGUUGGAAAGUUUCGGCGGUUGGGGAUGGACUCGCGGCUUAUCAGCUUGUUGGUGGGGUAGUGGCUUACCAAGGCUUUGACGGGUAGCCGGCCUGAGAGGGUGACCGGCCACAUUGGGACUGAGAUACGACCCAGACUCCUACGGGAGGCAGAAGUGGGGAAUAGUACACUAUGGGCGGAAGCCAGAUGCAGCAACGCCGCGUGGGGUGUGACGGCCUGCGGGUUGUAAACCGCUUUCGCCUGUAACGAAACGAGAGUGACGGUAAUGGGUAAAGAAGCACCGGCUAACUACGUG
RNAcentral lists this ribosomal RNA (468 nucleotides) under uncultured bacterium. Its description in RNAcentral is "partial 16S ribosomal RNA". It matches the Rfam family "Bacterial small subunit ribosomal RNA", at positions 28 to 507 of the family's 1533-position model. The record is from RNAcentral.